Molecule: ribosomal RNA, 93 nt
Filed under: Sclerencoelia fascicularis
Lineage: Eukaryota; Fungi; Ascomycota; Leotiomycetes; Helotiales; Sclerotiniaceae
Description: partial ITS1 ribosomal RNA
Source: RNAcentral
AUUACUUUGUUGCUUUGGCAGGCUGCUUUGCGUCUGCCAGAGGUUUACCAAACUCUUUUUAUUAAUGUCGUCUGAGUACUAUAUAAUAGUUAA